GACGAACGCUGGCGGCGUGCUUAACACAUGCAAGUCGAACGAUGAACCACUUCGGUGGGGAUUAGUGGCGAACGGGUGAGUAACACGUGGGCAAUCUGCCCUUCACUCUGGGACAAGCCCUGGAAACGGGGUCUAAUACCGGAUAACACUGCCACGGGCAUCUGUGGUGGUUAAAAGCUCCGGCGGUGAAGGAUGAGCCCGCGGCCUAUCAGCUUGUUGGUGAGGUAAUGGCUCACCAAGGCGACGACGGGUAGCCGGCCUGAGAGGGCGACCGGCCACACUGGGACUGAGACACGGCCCAGACUCCUACGGGAGGCAGCAGUGGGGAAUAUUGCACAAUGGGCGAAAGCCUGAUGCAGCGACGCCGCGUGAGGGAUGACGGCCUGGUUGUAAC
Molecule: ribosomal RNA, 394 nt
Filed under: uncultured bacterium
Lineage: Bacteria
Description: bacterial SSU rRNA
Rfam family: Bacterial small subunit ribosomal RNA
Source: RNAcentral